Potamilus streckersoni is the source of this 77-nucleotide non-coding RNA. NCBI's taxonomy places the organism in Eukaryota, Metazoa, Mollusca, Bivalvia, Unionida, Unionidae. The record is from the annotation of a GenBank genome assembly.
GACCGCUCCGGUAACCUAGUGGUUAGAGCAUCUGCCUCGCAUGUGGGAGGUUGUGGGUUCUAUCCCCGGUCGAGUCA